RNAcentral lists this transfer-messenger RNA (350 nucleotides) under uncultured Eubacterium sp. It matches the Rfam family "transfer-messenger RNA". Rfam says of the family: Bacterial tmRNA, also known as 10Sa RNA or SsrA, is named for its dual tRNA and mRNA-like properties. The record is from RNAcentral. Lineage: Bacteria; Bacillati; Bacillota; Clostridia; Eubacteriales; Eubacteriaceae.
GGGGGCGAAAGGAUUUCGACAGGCUCAAUGAGUCUUGGUCAGCGGGUAGUGGAGUUGCGCCACUUUAAAAGUAACACCUUAAAAUUAACUGACAACAAUAAAACAGUUCUUAAGGCUGCCUAAGCGCGCCUUCGUUCUCUUUAAGUAGUGCCGCGGACUUUCUGAGAGCGUCGAUUCAGCGGCGUCCAUGAACGAAAGAGCGUCUCGGCUUUCGUCAGGUAUAAGAGACUACCGUAGCUGAAAGGCUGUUUGCCGCCGUUCAGCGAGGGGAAUCCAAACGACAAACUACACCCGUAGAGCCCUUGAUAAAUAGGGUUUGGACGCGAGUUCGAUUCUCGCCGCCUCCACCA